Molecule: unclassified non-coding RNA, 1534 nt
Filed under: Hevea brasiliensis (rubber tree)
Lineage: Eukaryota; Viridiplantae; Streptophyta; Magnoliopsida; Malpighiales; Euphorbiaceae
Source: RNAcentral
AAAAAGAAGAAUUUAAAAAUAAUUGAAGAGAAAGGCUACCUCUUGGUAACCAACGGUGCCUUAGGUCCUAAAUACCAAAGAACAGGAAUUAAAUUCAAGCUAAGCUAUUUCUUCAAUCCGUCCUUGCCUCUCUCUCCUUCUCCUUUUGUUUUUAAGAACCAAGUCCCAAAAAUGCUACAUUUCUUUCCAGUAACAUAGCAUAUUUAUUAGAGAUUCAUCGAAAAGUUGCACUUCGAUUUCCAGUGGCUGGAAAAGCCUGACGUCUUCUACCUUGUGGAAAUUCUUUGGUCCCGUCAUCUUUCUCAACUCCAUGAACAACCGAACUUCUUUUCCUACUGACAGAAUCAAGUGAGCUCUGAUCUUUGUCACCCACUUGUUUUGAUUUUUCCUUGUGAUCUUUCCCAAAUCUGAUCGCAGCAGCAUAAUCAAAUGGCUUCAACUUUAGAAGGCCAGUUGGUUCUAGAGAUUUUCGGGUUUUUUCAAUUGCUCUAUUUUGAUUGCUAGACUGGAAGCACUUUUGGAAGCUUGUAGAAAGAUCAGAGAGAGAUGCACGUUCUUUGUCUGCUUUGCUAUCCCCGUGAGAAUCUUUGAUUUUUGAAUCAUCAUUCUCUAAUACCUCUACAUCUGAAUCAUCGUCCAACACUAUAAUUUCUUCUAAAUUGGAACUGGCCAGUGGGACAGCAAAAGAUUCUUCAACAUGUGGAAUUUCUGAAACUGUAGUGGGCUCUUCCACAACUGGUUUUGGAUCAUUUCUGCCCAAAAAUGAAUGGAAUGGAAGAUUUACAGAAUUCCUGAUCCUUUCCAGCUUGAUCUCUUCUUUGUCCUUUUUGUCAAUAUCAAACCUUCUCUUUGCGGCUGCACUUGCACUUCCCAGCAUUGCUCCAAAAGCACCAGUUGGCUUCUUUAAAACCUGAACAGUUGCUCCAGUAUCUGGAUCCAUGUUCCUCAGUGAAACAGGGAAGUUUUCUCUGUGAAGCUCAGAAACAUUACUACUGGAUUCAACACCAUUUUCACCAUGACGCGUACAAGAGCCUCCUUGUUGAUCUCUGCAAAUCUUUGUCUCCAAAGGCCCCUUUCUGAGCUGUGGAGAAGUUGCUUGGAGAGUAUUCCUAUUGCCAUCAUAAAUGGCCUCUGUUCCAGCAGUCUCCAGAUUUGUGUGCUUAUCAGCGGCAAAGCCUUCACAAUUAUCAUUAAGUUCUAUGUUUUCCAGUGAGGCCGUUUCAGUGUGUCCAUCCUUUAAAAGUUGAGCAGCAGCUUCAAACUCGGCAGUAUUUUGCAUGGCAUGCCUAAUUAUGUUAACAAGGGAACCAAGGUUUCGCUCAACAUAUGGGUGCUUUGUUUUCAAUACUCGACGCAACUUUUGAGGCGUAACAGGCAUCUGUUUGGCAAUUUCAAGAAGAGUUUUGUUUGGUAAUAUAUAGCCUGUGCUCUCAUCUUCAGCACGGGCAACAAUAUCUCUCCACUCAAAGAGUCCUGCAACAAUGGCAAGCUGCUGAGCAUUGAAACCAGCAUUCUGCAACCCAUAAAUGUGGAG